This 253-nucleotide ribosomal RNA is filed under the name uncultured bacterium. RNAcentral describes it as "partial 16S ribosomal RNA". It matches the Rfam family "Bacterial small subunit ribosomal RNA", at positions 524 to 776 of the family's 1533-position model. The record is from RNAcentral.
UACGUAGGGGGCAAGCGUUGUCCGGAUUCAUUGGGCGUAAAGAGCGUGUAGGCGGCCAGAUAGGUCAGCUGUGAAAACUCGAGGCUCAACCUCGAGACGUCGGUUGAAACCAUCUGGCUAGAGUCCGGAAGAGGAGUGUGGAAUUCCCGGUGUAGCGGUGAAAUGCGCAGAUAUCGGGAAGAACACCCGUGGCGAAGGCGGCACUCUGGGACGGUACUGACGCUGAGACGCGAAAGCGUGGGGAGCGAACAGG